UUUCAUACUAUAUGUAUAAACAUUAUCAAAGUCUAUAUUACAUUGAUACCUUCGGCUUGUUUGAAGGUGAAGACAUGAGAGCAAAUACAAUACAACGUGAACAAUACGGGGGUACUGUUGAUCUAUUUAUAGGCACGGGACGCAGACCGAGUAAAAAUACAUUUAUGACCUUAACGUGUACACAUAAUCCUAAUACAAAACAUCAGGGAUUAACUAGUCUUUUUCUCUUCAACUCAACAUUAUGUUUGACCUUCGUCGCCACAUUAAGUUGAAGCUGUCGUUCUUUGGCUCUUUACAUAUGUUCGUUGUAGCUUCGACAUUCGAUCUUGUCGCUUACAGACAAUAUCUCCGUCUUGAGGACCUUCGACAGAGGAGACCUCCAACAAGCUCGUCCAACACCUCAGGAAGACUUCCGCCUCGCCUGAGCAAGGCUCUGACCUCGAUAAAAGCAGCCAGGAAUCUCGACAUCAUCCCGCGCAAGGACGCUGACGCACCCCGUAAGCAGGCCUUUAGCCCAUACCCUGACGCUGUUACAACAACUACGGUAUGGGUAGCCUCUCCCCCGGGGGCUCGGGCGUACGGACAACCCCUCGGCCUUUGCCUCGGCUCUCAGCAGGAAACCAGCAGGCACUAGUCAAUAAUGCAGUGCACCAUCAUGUCGGCUGGCAGGGCGCCAAGACAUCUCUCCUUCGAAUACAACCACACCAGGCUUCACCGUGGACACCCCCUUUGUGUAUAAAUAGGACAGUAGAGUUCCUCCAGGAGGACGCACAGACAAGCAGGACACUCAGACGAACACUCUAUUCUCCAACCAGUCUUCGAUAUUGACACUUGCUUCAAUCAAUUCUAGGGACUUGGGAACUUUUCCUCUCCCGUCGUGCUUGUAAUCCCUACUGUAGGCACCUCGGUACAAGUAAUAUAAGCCUCAUGCCCCUCUGCUGGAAGUAGGGUCUUGCAUUACACGAACCAGGAUAAAUCGCUUGUGUCUACUAGCACACCAUCUAGAUUCUGGCCACACGACAUUAUUUACUAGUUAGUUAGGACCCUUAGUCCAAACACUGACAAAUAAAUACUGCCUUACACACACAUGAGUGAGGGGGGGGGGGGGGGUUGUGGUACCUCCAGAUCUAGCGGUGUACUAUGCCAUACACCAGCAUUGUCGCAGAUAGGGGAGGAGGUAGGGGCAAGCGAUGUAUGCUUUAGCGUUAGCAUGUAGCCCCUACAGGCACUAAGGAUGUCUGCAGCAGCGCCCUCUAAAUUUUAUCCCCUA
RNAcentral lists this long non-coding RNA (1270 nucleotides) under Zea mays. RNAcentral's name for it is "long non-coding RNA (ZMAY_LNC003525)". Lineage: Eukaryota; Viridiplantae; Streptophyta; Magnoliopsida; Poales; Poaceae. The record is from RNAcentral.